GCAAGUCGAACGAACUCUGGUAUUGAUUGGUGCUUGCAUCAUGAUUUACAUUUGAGUGAGUGGCGAACUGGUGAGUAACACGUGGGAAACCUGCCCAGAAGCGGGGGAUAACACCUGGAAACAGAUGCUAAUACCGCAUAACAACUUGGACCGCAUGGUCCGAGUUUGAAAGAUGGCUUCGGCUAUCACUUUUGGAUGGUCCCGCGGCGUAUUAGCUAGAUGGUGGGGUAACGGCUCACCAUGGCAAUGAUACGUAGCCGACCUGAGAGGGUAAUCGGCCACAUUGGGACUGAGACACGGCCCAAACUCCUACGGGAGGCAGCAGUAGGGAAUCUUCCACAAUGGACGAAAGUCUGAUGGAGCAACGCCGCGUGAGUGAAGAAGGGUUUCGGCUCGUAAAACUCUGUUGUUAAAGAAGAACAUAUCUGAGAGUAACUGUUCAGGUAUUGACGGUAUUUAACCAGA
RNAcentral lists this ribosomal RNA (465 nucleotides) under Lactiplantibacillus plantarum. RNAcentral describes it as "bacterial SSU rRNA". It matches the Rfam family "Bacterial small subunit ribosomal RNA", at positions 57 to 487 of the family's 1533-position model. The record is from RNAcentral. Lineage: Bacteria; Bacillati; Bacillota; Bacilli; Lactobacillales; Lactobacillaceae.